GACCCUGCAGAAUGUGCUGUCUCAGAGCUUUGGAGGUGCUAUUGGGCAGCAGACGUCAGGCAAUGCAGACCAGGAGGGAAUCACAGGGCACGUAUCCUUACCCAGAAGGGCCGAGACAUUUGGAGGCUUUGACAGCCAUCAGAUGAGUGCCACGAAAAGCGGAGAGAAGGAUGAAGUAGAAGAUGGACAGGACCUUCGCAGGACGGAAUCAGACAGUGUUUUAAAAAAGGGGCUGACUGCGAAUCUGAUCCUGCCAAUCAGAAAGAAUGAGGUAAGGCUGAUAUUUUUAAAUAAACCAGAAGGUAUAUUUUAGACAAGAAAAAAAUGAAAUUACACAACUCCCAGUUGAACAAUGAAAUGGUGUCACAAUACCCCAAAGUUAAAUGUCAACUCACUAUUUCUGUAAAACAGAAAUCAUCAUCAUUUUUACUUUCCUGGGUAUUCUCUGGGUAAAGUUGGCGUCCCGAAUCCCACAGUCACCAACUAUCCAUCAAUGAUUCAUCUAAAUGAACUGCUCCCUUGAAGACUCUGCGUGCCAUCUAAUUCGAUGGUUCCCAACCUUUUCAGUAGUAUGACACAUUUCAAUGAGACAGAAAA
Rhincodon typus (whale shark) is the source of this 597-nucleotide long non-coding RNA. RefSeq lists it as uncharacterized. NCBI's taxonomy places the organism in Eukaryota, Metazoa, Chordata, Chondrichthyes, Orectolobiformes, Rhincodontidae. The record is from RefSeq and is a predicted model, not a curated record. The transcript has 3 exons.